This is a non-coding RNA of Monodelphis domestica (gray short-tailed opossum), 5365 nucleotides long. NCBI's taxonomy places the organism in Eukaryota, Metazoa, Chordata, Mammalia, Didelphimorphia, Didelphidae. The record is from RefSeq and is a predicted model, not a curated record.
GAGGAGAGAGAAGGAGAGGGAGAGGCUUGCCCCAUGGAUCCAACAGAGAAGAUAGUGAGCUUCAAGGGCACUUAGAAGUGAUUCAAUCCAACCCCUUCACUUUACACCCAAAGAUCCUGAAGCCUAGAGAUGUAAAUGGGUGCCCAAGGGGGAUGCAGGGGCCAAAUGGCAGAGCCAGGAUCUAGCCAGCACUCCCUUCACUCCUAGCUCAUGGCCUUUCUCCCAUUCCUCUCUUGGUCAGACUCUCCCCAUCUUCUCUCUCCUCCCUUAGGUUCCACAGCAAAGAGAAACCAACAGCCUGAGUUCCUGCUGCCAUCUGCUGGGCCAACAGAACCUGUGGAUCCUGGAGUGAUUCAGCCCUACCCAGAUGAACCUGGCACAGUUCUUUCUUUGACUGUUCAUCAGUUCUAAGCAGUUGUGCUGCCUCUGGCUCCAAGUUGUACCAUCUGAGGCAGUAGGAAGCCACUGAAGUUUCUUCAGCUGGAGAGGAAAGUGGUCAGAGAGGAAGACACUUUGGCAGUCACAUGGAAAAUGGAUUGGAACAGGGAGAGGUUACAGGCAAAGAAGACCAAACAGGAAGGCAAUUGCUAAGAGUUCAACCAAGGGAUUCUGAGUGCCUAAACUAGUCAUGAGAUGUGGAGAAGGAAAAAGAGAGUGAUCAAAGAAAGGAGAGGAUCUUGCUCUAGGUGAAUGGGGAAAAAACUGUCAACUUGGAAAAGGCAAAGAUGUUCAACCUUUAUUGGCUUCUGUCUCCUCUGUCAUUGCGAAUCAUCUUUCAACUGGAAAGGCCAGAAGAAUUAUGGGCUAAUGAGAAGUUAAUACCUAAAAUAAUUAGAGUAUAAAAGAGCCCCUCACUACUUAUAAAUUCAAGUUAUCAAGCCCAGAUGAAUGCCAUCCUUCACUCCUGAAAGAACGGGAAAAUGUUAGCCAUGCAUUACAGGCAAACAAGGCAUAAAGAGAAUAAAUUGGGGAUCAUCUCAGAGGGAAGGCACUUAAGGAACAGUGGAAAAGGCUUCAUUCUGAAGGUGGGACUAGUGAUGUCCAAGCCAUCUCAUUCAUUGCAAACUCACUAUUAGUCAAUGGUGUGAUAUAGCAACCAAGAAAAGUAACGGGAAUCAUGAGUAACAUCAGGAAUAGAAUCCAGGCAUUGUACAAGGAAUGUCAGAAGACUUGAGUGCAAAUCCUUCCUCAGACACUUAACAUCUGGAUAACCCUAAAUGACACUUAAGCCCUUUCAGCCUCAGUUUAUCUCUUAAAUGCCAGACCUAAGGUCUUUUUCUCACUCUUCUUUCUCCUGAAUCUCUAUUCAGCUUUUGAAAUUCUUGAUCACUUUUUCUUCCUGGACAUUCUCUCUUCACUAUGAUUUCAUGACACACUUCUUAUCUAGUUCUCCCAACAAUCUGACCACUCCUUCUCAGCAGGAGAGGCUGUUCUAGGCUUUCUUCUCUUUUCACUCUAUUAUUAUUCUUUCCUAGCCAUCUCCCAUGAGUUCAAUCACCUCUACAAAGAUGAUUCCCAAAUCAAUCUAUCUAAGCACAAACACACAUAUAGAUAGAGAAAUAUCCAAUGGCCUGGGCAAUUAGGUAGCAUAGUGAAUAGAACAAGACUUGAGUUUAAAUCUGGCCUGAUACCUACUAGCUAGGAGUCCCUGGACAAGUCACUUAACCCUGUUAGUUUCAAUUUCCUCACCAAUAAAAUGGAUUGAAGAAGAAAAUGGCAAACCACUCCAGGAUCCUCACCAUGAAAAUACUAAACGGUCUCAGGAAGAAUCAAACACAACUAAAGUGACUGAAAAACAACAUCCAAUAACCUCUUGGACAUCUUAAACUGGACAGACUCAUCAUUCCAUUCCAAUGGCUCUCUAUUGCCUCCAGGACCUCUGUUUUUUGGCUUUUUUUCUUCACACCUAGGAACCUGCCCCCAGCCACUUUAUACUGUAACCCUCUUUAUAUGCUCUGAUCCAGCCACACUGUUUGCUUCUUUGAGAUUCCACUCUCACUUAAAGAAAUCCAUUUCACUCAACUCCUCUCUUAUCCGUCUAUUCCCAAUCUAUCAAGAAAUUUUGUUAAUACUUACCUAAUUGCCAAACAAUCUACUACACACCCCGCCCCCCGCCCCGUGAACCAUGUGGGGACACUCAAGUCUUCCCAGAUGGCUCUUAAUAAACCACACUACUUUAUUCUAUACCUAGCCCAAUAAUUUUCUACCCAAAUAGAACUAUUUCCUUAAACUUAUUCUAUUCUAUCAUUACACUAAGCCUAUUCUAAGCUAUCCUAUACAAAAGACAAUGAAAGAAUUAAAAAGAACAGAAAAGAGAAAGUAAAGAAAGUUCUGCAACACUGCAAAUCAAAUUAUAAUUACAAUAAUCCAAAUGCAAAAUAUUAACAAAAGAACACAAUUUUUCCUAUGCUAGUACAGCAACUUUCUAUCUAAAGAUAAAACUCCAAAAUUUACCUUACAAAUACAACGGAAAUAGAAACAAAGCAAACUUUCCUAAUCUAAUACAAAACAAUUUCUACCUAAUGUUAGUUUUUUUUUCAAGUCAUCUUAUAAACUAUACAAACUGCAAACUUUUCCUAUUCUACUUACAGAAACAAUCCUACCUAAAAACUAAUGCAAACUCAACUCACAACACAACACUAUGCAAACUAAAAACUUUGUAAAACCUAUUUUGCACAGCUAUUCAUAACUACAAAAUUUACAUAUGUACAUUAUAUUUACAUGCCUCACUGAAAUCACCUAUUAUGAAGAUAAUAAAAUUCUCCUCCCUGUAGUGAGUAAAAAACACCUCUGUACUGUGGAUAUAAAAUUCUUAUGAAUUAAGUUAUUUUUAUACUAGUACAUAUAAAGUAUUAUAUGUUGCAGCUGAUUAGAAUUUGUAACAUCACCACUUGAUAUGUUGUGCAUUAUGUUAAUAACAUCCUACAUCCCUAAACUUUUAUACUUAACAAUUUACCAUAUUUCUCCUAAAUACAAAUCUCUUUUAUUUCAAACUUCUUCCAUUGAAAUGCAUAGUGUAGUGUCUUCAGAAUCUGUCUGCAGUCUUCUUCUUCAGUUUGCUUGUAAAAGUUUAUGUUGCCAGAGUCUCUUGUUGAUUGUUGCCAGCUUGUCUUGUUGAUUAUAACAAUGUACAUUGCAACGUGUAUGUAAUGUUUAUGCAAUGUGUUUUUACAAACAGUACACUGUCCUUUUGAAACCAUGUCCAUGGUCCAUUGUCCAUUUUCUGUUGUCCUUGUUUUGUCCUUGUUGUUGUGUUGAUCUUUGUUUCUUCCUUCUCAAUUACCCACUUCUACUGAAGAAGCUUUAUAUGUAGUUAUGUUCUUCACUUGAUGAUAUAUUCUUCACAUGCGAGCAAUGCACCCACACGUCUUUACCGGCUACCAUUAUAAUAGUAGCAGUUGUCAACAAAAUAUCAUAUGGUCCUUGCCAUAUUGGUUCAGUAGCACUUGUUAUAUGAAAUUUUUUUAGGCAUACAUUAUCACCCAAAUGUCUAUCAUGUUGUGUAAAGUCAAGAGGUCCAGCAUGAACAAUAAUUCCCAGUUCUUAUAGCUCUUUAAUUCUGUUCUACAAUUGCCCUAUGUAUUCUGCAAUAUUUGUGUCUAUACCCAGCAAUGAAGUAAACACCACGUUAAAACUUUUGGCUUGUAAUGGUGUAUGUCCAAAAAGCAUUGUAAACCUCAAAAUUUCUUAGACUUAUGAAUGUUGGAAAUUUCACCAUUGGGAUAUUUCAUACUUGGAAAAUUUCUUACUUAUAGUCUAUUGGAAUGUGAACCCCAUUGGCAUGGGAGGUUCCUUCUCUUCCCUUCUUAAGAUUACUUUAGGACAGAAACCUUUUGCUGAACAAUGGAAAGGACUUUGACCUAUGCUUAAGCAUAGAACAGGAAUUUCUUUGAGUCAUGAUUGAUUUUAGAAUUGAUACAAUGGAGAUACUUGGAAUCAAUCUCCACCCUAUUCAGUCCUAAUAGGAUUGAGUAAGGGCUGCAGCCUAGAUCAAAAUUUAAUUAUUCCAAUCUCUACCCUACUCAGGUUAACAGGAUUUAGAAAGGGCUGUAGCAAAGGAUCAAAGAUUUAAUUAUUUGAAAAUAUGACCUUCAACAGACAUGUGCAAAGCCAGAGACCUCUGGGCGGUCCUGGGUUAAGCUAGAGCCUCCAUUGGCACAGGGAAAUUGAUGGACAGUGAUUGGUAGAUGGGAGAACUGAGGGGAGGCAACUUGGAUGGUUUCCUUAAAGAGAGAGGGGUCUGAAGACUCAGGGGGGUUGGUGGUGUUUUGAGGAGUUUGUACAAUUCUUCCAACUGAUAUCCAGUCCACUCUUACUCUGAUUCAGAGUUUCAAAUCAUUGCCCAUCAUUGCCCAGAUUUGAUCUGUCCCAAAUUAAAGUACUAUAGUGGAUCCACCGAGUCAUUGUUCUGAGGCCUCUCAUUGCCCCUUUCCAAUGUCAAUAUUAUAUUGACACUGACAUUAUCUCCUUCUACAUAAUGUAGAGGCCCCCACUGAGGAGCAUUUUGAGCAUUGAUGAAGUCUCCUUGAUAAGUUGUGAAUUUCUCGCUAUAGUUUGGGUGGUCCUAUUAACAGUAUUAGGAAAAAAUAAUUGAUUGGUUCUCUUCUACUUUACACAUCCUUAGACUUGUGCUUGUCAAGCACCAAAUAGAGAAUCAAAGCUAACAGUCAGAUACACACACCCAGAUGGGUAGUUUUCACAAGAGAUAUAAACUUCCUGGAAGUAGGGAUUGUGUCAUUCUUUUUUUUUAAACCCUUACCUUCCAUCUUAGAAUCAAUAUGGUGUAUAGGUUCCAAGACAGAAGUAAUGUUAAGGGCUAGGCAGUUAGGGUUAAGUGACUUGCCCAGGGUCAUACAGCUAGGAAGUGUAUGAGGACAAAUUUGAAUCCGGGACCUUCUGGCUCCAGGACUGACUCUUAAUCCACUAGACCACCUAGCCACCUCCAAAUUGCUUCAUUCUUUGUCCUCAGAUAUCCCCAGAACCUGGCACAUUGAGCACAAAGCAAACAAAUGUGACUCUUCUCUAUAGCUUCUCAAAGACACUGGAAUCAAGAAUGCAUAGGUCUUAGAAGGUAUUUUUUUUAAAACCAUCUUAGAAUUAAUACUGUGUAUUGGUUCCAAGGCAGAAGAGAGUUAAGGGCUAGGCAAUGGUGGUUAAGUGACUUGCCCAGGGUCACAUAGCUAGGAAGUAUCUGAGGCCACACUUGAACCCCAGGCCUCCCAUCUCUAGGCCAGGCUCUCAAUCAAUCCAUUUAGCCACCUGACUGUCCCCUUGUUUUCAAAUGUAGAUCUAUAGUCUAGCCAUACAGCCGGGAAGAUUCCCAAAGCCCCCAACUCCAGACUUACAUUCUGUGCUUCCCGUAGGU